GAAGGGCUUUGCCUGCUACGUCACAAAUGAGUAAUGUUAUGGUUGAAUGUGAAAAAUCCCCCACAGGCUUCUGCACUUGAACUCUUGGCCUCCAGCUGGGGGCGCUGUUGUUUUGGAAGGCUCCAGCUGGGGGCGCUGUUUUGGAAGGUUCUAGCUACCAGGUGGAGCUGAGCUGGGAGAAGCAGAAGUGAGUGAGCAGCCUCAUGCCUCCUCUGCUACAGCCAAGAGCCUUUCCCAUUCCCCGACCCUGCCUUUCCACCGCGAUGGAAACAGUGAACCACGGUGAACCUGUCCGCUCAGAUCACGGUUAGAAACCAGAGCUCACGGUAAAGACCUUUAGGGUCUCCGGGCCUGAAGUGGCACACACAUUGUUGUUGUGCCCAACUUUUCAGUGUCCCAAUGCUAGGUCACCAUUGCAUGAACAUUGACUCCUAACAGAAAGCCCUCUUCCUUUGUCCAUUCUA
Long non-coding RNA from Mastomys coucha (southern multimammate mouse), 464 nucleotides. RefSeq lists it as uncharacterized. The transcript has 2 exons. The record is from RefSeq and is a predicted model, not a curated record. Lineage: Eukaryota; Metazoa; Chordata; Mammalia; Rodentia; Muridae.